AUGAUGCCAACCACGCGACCACAAUAGGAGGGAGACCUAGAGCUUACGUCAUUAAAGUGACUUCAUGGCCAAUCAGAUGAGGAGGAUCAUUUCAAACUAUGACUAAACAGGAAAUGUCUUUGUGUUCCCAGCUGACACUUGGGCCAUCAUGUGCGUGUUGUUCUUGUCCUUUCUUCUCUUUGUUUCUAUCCCCGCACAGGCCACCAUCACCAGAAUGGACCAAACCCCGGCCGACGCCAUCAAGGCGGCGGGCGACGAUGUAAUCAUGAGCUGCAACCAUUCCAGCAAUCUAGGUUUGAACAUGAUCUGGUACAAGCAGACCGCUCCGGCAGCCGCCUUCACCCAAGUGGCCCGGACGGGUGUGAAAAAUGUGGUGGUGGACGCUGACGUGUACCGGCUGACUGGCAGCGCCUCUCACUCGUCCCUUGGCGUCAACCGCCUCCGGCCUUCUGAGAACGCUGUGUACUUCUGCGCCGCCACGGAGGCGCGCACGGCGAUGCAUGACCUCGUCAGCCCCGCACAAAGCGCCUUAAAUUCUGUUCCCCUUUUGAUAGCGUCCUGUACUUUGCGCUAUGCUUACUGUCUGCUGUAUGCACACUGGCUCAGCUCGUCUCGACUGUUUAACAUUUGAU
This is a non-coding RNA of Syngnathus typhle (broad-nosed pipefish), 632 nucleotides long. Lineage: Eukaryota; Metazoa; Chordata; Actinopteri; Syngnathiformes; Syngnathidae. The record is from the annotation of a RefSeq genome assembly.